AGCAAUUAUACCGUGAAACUGCGAAUGGCUCAUUAAAUCAGUUAUCGUUUAUUUGAUAGUACCUUACUACUUGGAUAACCGUGGUAAUUCUAGAGCUAAUACAUGCUGAAAACCCCGACUUCGGGAGGGGUGUAUUUAUUAGAUAAAAAACCAAUGCCCUUCGGGGCUCUUUGGUGAUUCAUGAUAACUUUUCAGAUCGCAUGGCCUUGCGCCGGCGACGGUUCAUUCAAAUUUCUGCCCUAUCAACUUUCGAUGGUAAGGUAUUGGCUUACCAUGGUUUCAACGGGUAACGGGGAAUUAGGGUUCGAUUCCGGAGAGGGAGCCUGAGAAACGGCUACCACAUCCAAGGAAGGCAGCAGGCGCGCAAAUUACCCAAUCCCGACACGGGGAGGUAGUGACAAUAAAUACUGAUACAGGGCUCUUUUGGGUCUUGUAAUUGGAAUGAGUACAAUUUAAACCUCUUAACGAGGAACAAUUGGAGGGCAAGUCUGGUGCCAGCAGCCGCGGUAAUUCCAGCUCCAAUAGCGUAUAUUAAAGUUGUUGCAGUUAAAAAGCUCGUAGUUGAACCUUGGGCCUGGCUGGCAGGUCCGCCUCACCGCGUGUACUUGUCCGGCCGGGCCUUUCCUUCUGGAGAACCUCAUGCCCUUCACUGGGUGUGCUGGGGAACCAGGACUUUUACUUUGAAAAAAUUAGAGUGUUCAAAGCAGGCCUUUGCUCGAAUACGUUAGCAUGGAAUAAUAGAAUAGGACGUGCGGUCCUAUUUUGUUGGUUUCUAGGACCGCCGUAAUGAUUAAUAGGGACAGUCGGGGGCAUCAGUAUUCAAUUGUCAGAGGUGAAAUUCUUGGAUUUAUUGAAGACUAACUACUGCGAAAGCAUUUGCCAAGGAUGUUUUCAUUAAUCAGUGAACGAAAGUUAGGGGAUCGAAGACGAUCAGAUACCGUCGUAGUCUUAACCGUAAACUAUGCCGACUAGGGAUCGGGCGAUGUUUCUAUCUUGACUCGCUCGGCACCUUACGAGAAAUCAAAGUUUUGGGUCUGGGGAG
This 1042-nucleotide ribosomal RNA is filed under the name Corynespora cassiicola. RNAcentral's name for it is "SSU rRNA". It matches the Rfam family "Eukaryotic small subunit ribosomal RNA", at positions 68 to 1121 of the family's 1831-position model. The record is from RNAcentral. Lineage: Eukaryota; Fungi; Ascomycota; Dothideomycetes; Pleosporales; Corynesporascaceae.